GAGCCACCGUGCCCGGCCGAGCCUGCAGCUUUAAUGCCCUAUUUUCUGGAAGUCAAAACUGUAUCACUGAGGUGUUUCUCUUUUUCAUUACAGGAGUCGUUUCUAUUUUAUUUAUAUUUUGCAGUGAAACGAUUUAAAUCAAAUGUGCUUGGGUGCAGAGGAAAUCUGAUCUGAAAGAGUUUUUGUGGCAGAAAGAGAGCCAGCAGAUACUUACUUCCUGCCUUGCAGAGGCCAGUAACAUCCUGGUACAAGGGGAUUCAUCAAUACAUCUUUCAUAAGAGGGCUUCUCUGCACAGUGAGGUGGAAAAUCUUUCCAAUGACUCUGGCCCAUUUCUAACUUUGCCCCUGAAUAAAAGAAGGGAUUGAUUGGGGCUUGGAAUGCUUCCAUACCCAGGGGCCUUCCUGCACCCCAGGAGGCAGAGUCUAUAAACGGAAUUCAAUUGGGCAAUUGCUCGUGGAGAGAAAACCCAGCAGGGGUGAGCACGGCCUCUAAGGAGAGGACAGUGAAGGGUUAAAGGUGCACCGCCUUCCUCCGCUGGGGUCUGCAGAGGGACUGAUAUCUGGAAGUCUCUAAAAUAAAGAGGCUCAAAAAUAGUCAAAGAGACUUGCCAUUGGGUAUUCCAGGGACUGCAGAUCCAUCCCCCACUCUCCAUGAACUACGAUGUAUGUUGGCGGCGGGAUAUACCCUCAGUGCGUCCAUCAGUCAAUCAGCUGGUAUUUCUCAAGAUCUAUAACGAGCCAAAGCCGAGUGAGAGAGCUUGAAGACUUCGUAACACAGCAAAGGGGCAUGGGGAAUUGAAGAGUACAUCCAGUUCCUGUAGACACAUCCCACAACCCCAACCUCCCAAGAUGGUGCCAGUAAGCUUUCUGUUGGCUGGGAGACCAGGAGACCUGAGCUCCACCCUGGACCCUGCCACUUAAGUUAGCAGCUCUUUGAGUCUCAAAAGCAUGCCCAAGUUGACUAAGCCUGCUUUAAAAGUUACUUGGAGAAGUGCUGAGAUGACUAAAUAAAGACAGAGUCCAACACCAGGCACAGGACACGCCCUGAAUGAAGAGAUUACUUCCCUUCUCUUCCGAACUUUUCUUCUCCUCACCCACCUCCCUGUAAGGUGAAGAUACAGCUCUGUCUACACAGAACAGUCACUUCUCUCUUCCUUUCUCUAGGGUGGUUUGGGUUCAAAGAUGGAAGCUGUAUUUGCACCCUUGCAAGCUGGUUUGGUCCACACUUGCUUUCCUACCCAAAGACCACCACAAUCCCUAGCUACUUUAGAACUUCCUCAGCACGUGAACUUGAACAACACCCUACUCUUCUCCAAGACCCGGUUUCGGGGUAAAUGGGAUUAGUAAACCUAAUUUAAGUCAGAGUUGCUAUGAGGAUUAGAAAUCAACAGGCUUCCCAGAACCUGACACAUGGUAGAUGCCCAAUAAAUGAAAUUUAUUAUUUUCUGCAGGGAAAAUAACAUCUAUCUCCUCUAAUUGUCACGAGGAUUAGAAGUAAAAUACAAAGAGCAUUUAGCACUGUGUCUGGCGCAAAAUAGCGGAUACUAUAUACAUCUUGAUUGAUGGAGACAAAAGACCAAAAGAUGAACAUAAACAUGAGCAAAAGCAAAAAAAAAAAAAAAAA
Macaca fascicularis (crab-eating macaque) is the source of this 1624-nucleotide long non-coding RNA. Lineage: Eukaryota; Metazoa; Chordata; Mammalia; Primates; Cercopithecidae. The record is from Ensembl.